This 739-nucleotide ribosomal RNA is filed under the name uncultured archaeon. RNAcentral describes it as "bacterial SSU rRNA". It matches the Rfam family "Archaeal small subunit ribosomal RNA", at positions 1 to 750 of the family's 1478-position model. The record is from RNAcentral.
UUCCGGUUGAUCCCGCCGGACCCGACUGCUAUCAGAGUGGGACUAAGCCAUGCGAGUCGACGUAGCAAUGCGUGGCGAACGGCUCAGUAACACGUAGUCAGCAUGCCCAGGGGACGUGGAUAACCUCGGGAAACUGAGAAUAAACCACGAUAGGUCACGAUUUCUGGAAUGGAUCAUGGCAUAAAUCUACAUGGCCCCUGGAUUGGACUGCGGCCGAUCAGGCAGUUGGUGAGGUAAUGGCCCACCAAACCUAUAACCGGUACGGGCUCUGAGAGGAGAAGCCCGGAGAUGGGCACUGAGACAAGGGCCCAGGCCCUAUGGGGCGCAGCAGGCGCGAAACCUCUGCAAUAGGCGAAAGCCUGACAGGGUUACUCUGAGUGAUUUCCGCUAAGGGGAUCUUUUGGCACCUCUAAAAAUGGUACAGAAUAAGGGGUGGGCAAGUCUGGUGUCAGCCGCCGCGGUAAUACCAGCACCCCGAGUGGUCGGGACGAUUAUUGGGCCUAAAGCAUCCGUAGCCGGUUCUGCAAGUCUUCCGUUAAAUCCAGCCGCUCAACGGAUGGGCCGCGGAGGAUACUAUAGGACUAGGAGGCGGGAGAGGCAAGCGGUACUCAGUGGGUAGGGGUAAAAUCCUUUGAUCCAUUGAAGACCACCAGUGGCGAAGGCGGCUUGCCAGAACGCGCUCGACGGUGAGGGAUGAAGCUGGGGGAGCAAACCGGAUUAGAUACCCGGGUAGUCCCAG